GGUUAAGCGACUAAGCGUACACGGUGGAUGCCCUGGCAGUCAGAGGCGAUGAAGGACGUGCUAAUCUGCGAAAAGCGUCGGUAAGGUGAUAUGAACCGUUAUAGCCGGCGAUGUCCGAAUGGGGAAACCCAGUGCAAUUCGUUGCACUAUCGUUAACUGAAUACAUAGGUUAACGAGGCGAACCGGGGGAACUGAAACAUCUAAGUACCCCGAGGAAAAGAAAUCAACCGAGAUUCCCCCAGUAGCGGCGAGCGAACGGGGAGCAGCCCAGAGUCUGAAUCAGCUUGUGUGUUAGUGGAACGGUCUGGAAAGUCCGACGGUACAGGGUGAUAGUCCCGUACACCAAAAUGCACAGGUUGUGAACUCGAAGAGUAGGGCGGGACACGUGGUAUCCUGUCUGAAUAUGGGGGGACCAUCCUCCAAGGCUAAAUACUCCUGACUGACCGAUAGUGAACCAGUACCGUGAGGGAAAGGCGAAAAGAACCCCGGCGAGGGGAGUGAAAAAGAACCUGAAACCGUGUACGUACAAGCAGUGGGAGCACCUUCGGGUGUGACUGCGUACCUUUUGUAUAAUGGGUCAGCGACUUAUAUUCUGUAGCAAGGUUAACCGUAUAGGGGAGCCGCAGGGAAACCGAGUCUUAACUGGGCGUUAAGUUGCAGGGUAUAGACCCGAAACCCGGUGAUCUAGCCAUGGGCAGGUUGAAGGUUGGGUAACACUAACUGGAGGACCGAACCGACUAAUGUUGAAAAAUUAGCGGAUGACUUGUGGCUGGGGGUGAAAGGCCAAUCAAACCGGGAGAUAGCUGGUUCUCCCCGAAAGCUAUUUAGGUAGCGCCUCGUGAAUUCAUCUUCGGGGGUAGAGCACUGUUUCGGCUAGGGGGUCAUCCCGACUUACCAACCCGAUGCAAACUACGAAUACCGAAGAAUGUUAUCACGGGAGACACACGGCGGGUGCUAACGUCCGUCGUGAAGAGGGAAACAACCCAGACCGCCAGCUAAGGUCCCAAAGUCAUGGUUAAGUGGGAAACGAUGUGGGAAGGCACAGACAGCCAGGAUGUUGGCUUAGAAGCAGCCAUCAUUUAAAGAAAGCGUAAUAGCUCACUGGUCGAGUCGGCCUGCGCGGAAGAUGUAACGGGGCUAAACCAUGCACCGAAGCUGCGGCAGCGACACUAUGUGUUGUUGGGUAGGGGAGCGUUCUGUAAGCCUGCGAAGGUGACCUGUGAGGGUUGCUGGAGGUAUCAGAAGUGCGAAUGCUGACAUAAGUAACGAUAAAGCGGGUGAAAAGCCCGCUCGCCGGAAGACCAAGGGUUCCUGUCCAACGUUAAUCGGGGCAGGGUGAGUCGACCCCUAAGGCGAGGCCGAAAGGCGUAGUCGAUGGGAAACAGGUUAAUAUUCCUGUACUUGGUGUUACUGCGAAGGGGGGACGGAGAAGGCUAUGUUAGCCGGGCGACGGUUGUCCCGGUUUAAGCAUGUAGGCUGGUUAUCCAGGCAAAUCCGGAUAAUCAAGGCUGAGGUGUGAUGACGAGGCACUACGGUGCUGAAGUAACAAAUGCCCUGCUUCCAGGAAAAGCCUCUAAGCAUCAGGUAACAUCAAAUCGUACCCCAAACCGACACAGGUGGUCAGGUAGAGAAUACCAAGGCGCUUGAGAGAACUCGGGUGAAGGAACUAGGCAAAAUGGUGCCGUAACUUCGGGAGAAGGCACGCUGGUGUGUAGGUGAAGUCCCUGCGGAUGGAGCUGAGACCAGUCGAAGAUACCAGCUGGCUGCAACUGUUUAUUAAAAACACAGCACUGUGCAAACACGAAAGUGGACGUAUACGGUGUGACGCCUGCCCGGUGCCGGAAGGUUAAUUGAUGGGGUUAUCCGUAAGGAGAAGCUCUUGAUCGAAGCCCCGGUAAACGGCGGCCGUAACUAUAACGGUCCUAAGGUAGCGAAAUUCCUUGUCGGGUAAGUUCCGACCUGCACGAAUGGCGUAAUGAUGGCCAGGCUGUCUCCACCCGAGACUCAGUGAAAUUGAACUCGCUGUGAAGAUGCAGUGUACCCGCGGCAAGACGGAAAGACCCCGUGAACCUUUACUAUAGCUUGACACUGAACAUUGAGCCUUGAUGUGUAGGAUAGGUGGGAGGCUUUGAAGCGUGGACGCCAGUCUGCGUGGAGCCAACCUUGAAAUACCACCCUUUAAUGUUUGAUGUUCUAACGUUGGCCCCUUACCGGGGUUGCGGACAGUGUCUGGUGGGUAGUUUGACUGGGGCGGUCUCCUCCCAAAGCGUAACGGAUGAGCACGAAGGUUAGCUAAUCCCUGGUCGGACAUCAGGAGGUUAGUGCAAUGGCAUAAGCUAGCUUGACUGCGAGCGUGACGGCGCGAGCAGGUGCGAAAGCAGGUCAUAGUGAUCCGGUGGUUCUGAAUGGAAGGGCCAUCGCUCAACGGAUAAAAAGGUACUCCGGGGAUAACAGGCUGAUACCGCCCAAGAGUUCAUAUCGACGGCGGUGUUUGGCACCUCGAUGUCGGCUCAUCACAUCCUGGGGCUGAAGUAGGUCCCAAGGGUAUGGCUGUUCGCCAUUUAAAGUGGUACGCGAGCUGGGUUUAGAACGUCGUGAGACAGUUCGGUCCCUAUCUGCCGUGGGCGCUGGAGAAUUGAGGGGGGCUGCUCCUAGUACGAGAGGACCGGAGUGGACGCAUCACUGGUGUUCGGGUUGUCAUGCCAAUGGCACUGCCCGGUAGCUAAAUGCGGAAGAGAUAAGUGCUGAAAGCAUCUAAGCACGAAACUUGCCCCGAGAUGAGUUCUCCCUGAGACUUUAAGUCUCCUGAAGGAACGUUGAAGACGACGACGUUGAUAGGCCGGGUGUGUAAGCGCAGCGAUGCGUUGAGCUAACCGGUACUAAUGAACCGUGAGGCUUAACCUU
This 2904-nucleotide ribosomal RNA is filed under the name Klebsiella pneumoniae. RNAcentral's name for it is "23S ribosomal RNA". It matches the Rfam family "Bacterial large subunit ribosomal RNA". Lineage: Bacteria; Pseudomonadati; Pseudomonadota; Gammaproteobacteria; Enterobacterales; Enterobacteriaceae. The record is from RNAcentral.